RNAcentral lists this long non-coding RNA (435 nucleotides) under Prunus persica (peach). RNAcentral's name for it is "long non-coding RNA (PPER_LNC003881)". Lineage: Eukaryota; Viridiplantae; Streptophyta; Magnoliopsida; Rosales; Rosaceae. The record is from RNAcentral.
CGGCAGAUCAUGCUUGUACCGGCUGCUUCUUUUAUGGUUAAGAAUGAAAGUAUGAAUGAAAGAACGCUUUCAGGAAGUUCAUUAAUCCAAUUCUUGCUCUCAAUCUCCGUUACCUACAAGAAUAUUCAAGAAAAGCUCAGCAAAUAUUACCCUUGAUCAUAUAUCCUAGAAGACAUGAUUAAGCAGUAAACAUAGGUUUUGCACUUCCAUUAUUAGUAAGAUUGACAGAAAAAACUUUGACAUGGAUCCAAAAACAGAUAAAAGCAAUCAAAAGAUUGAUUCGGCACGAGUAAGUUUUGCCAUCCCUUCUUGAAUCUCACCUUAGGUAAUAUUCCACUUCGGUCCAUUGGCCUGAGAUAGUUGAAAUCUUGUGGACGAAAAGAUUGAAGUUGCAGAAGAUGCAGGUGUAAAAACAAGAGUUUUGGUCGUUUAGAG